Molecule: non-coding RNA, 300 nt
Organism: Parasteatoda tepidariorum (common house spider)
Lineage: Eukaryota; Metazoa; Arthropoda; Arachnida; Araneae; Theridiidae
Source: RefSeq, a predicted model, not a curated record
AGCAAAAUCAAACCGGAGGAAAGUUACUGUUUAUUACAUAUGGCAACAACUGUUCGCAAAACAUUUAAAGCAUGUUUCUCAUAUUGUUUUGUCUUUGUAAACUUAAAAUUUCAGGAUAUUUGCGAUGUUAGUUAAAUCUUAAACAUAAUUUAGUGUUGUUUUUUCCCCCUUCUUGCCUACUCCUUCUAAAGUGGACUAACCCUUUUAACUAUGAGUGAAUUAGACAAUUGGAAUCCAAUGGCUGAUGAUUUUGCUUGUCCGAAAUUCAACUCUUACAACAGGCAGUUCAGUUAUGAUGAC